This 118-nucleotide ribosomal RNA is filed under the name Hanseniaspora opuntiae. RNAcentral describes it as "partial 18S ribosomal RNA". It matches the Rfam family "Eukaryotic small subunit ribosomal RNA", at positions 1716 to 1831 of the family's 1831-position model. Lineage: Eukaryota; Fungi; Ascomycota; Saccharomycetes; Saccharomycodales; Saccharomycodaceae. The record is from RNAcentral.
UUGCUUAGAUCGAGGGGCAACUCUCUUUCAGAGCGGAGAAUCUAGUCAAACUUGGUCAUUUAGAGGAACUAAAAGUCGUAACAAGGUUUCCGUAGGUGAACCUGCGGAAGGAUCAUUA